RNAcentral lists this ribosomal RNA (253 nucleotides) under uncultured bacterium. RNAcentral describes it as "partial 16S ribosomal RNA". It matches the Rfam family "Bacterial small subunit ribosomal RNA", at positions 524 to 776 of the family's 1533-position model. The record is from RNAcentral.
UACAGAGGGGGCGAGCGUUGUUCGGAAUUACUGGGCGUAAAGGGCGCGUAGGCGGGAUGGCAAGUCGGUCGUGAAAUCCUUCGGCUCAACCGAAGAACGUCGAUCGAUACUGCUGUUCUUGAGGGUUGCAGAGGAGACUGGAAUUCCCGGUGUAGCGGUGAAAUGUGUAGAGAUCGGGAGGAACACCGGUGGCGAAGGCGGGUCUCUGGGCAGUUCCUGACGCUGAGGCGCGAAGGCCAGGGGAGCAAACGGG